CGCCUUUAGAAGAACAAGCAAGUAAAAUUGGAACAAGACGGAGAUUAGUGUGCCCCCAGUGCAAGGGUGACACUCAGUUUAUGAAGCAUUCCAUAUUUUC
RNAcentral lists this small nuclear RNA (100 nucleotides) under Carlito syrichta (Philippine tarsier). Lineage: Eukaryota; Metazoa; Chordata; Mammalia; Primates; Tarsiidae. The record is from RNAcentral.